AGUGAACGCUGGCGGUAGGCCUAACACAUGCAAGUCGAACGGUAGCACAGUAAGAGCUUGCUCUUACGGGUGGCGAGUGGCGGACGGGUGAGGAAUACAUCGGAAUCUACUUUUUCGUGGGGGAUAACGUAGGGAAACUUACGCUAAUACCGCAUACGACCUACGGGUGAAAGCAGUGGAUCUUCGGACCUUGCGCGAUUGAAUGAGCCGAUGUCGGAUUAGCUAGUUGGCGGGGUAAAGGCCCACCAAGGCGACGAUCCGUAGCUGGUCUGAGAGGAUGAUCAGCCACACCGGAACUGAGACACGGUCCAGACUCCUACGGGAGGCAGCAGUGGGGAAUAUUGGACAAUGGGCGCAAGCCUGAUCCAGCCAUACCGCGUGGGUGAAGAAGGCCUUCGGGUUGUAAAGCCCUUUUGUUGGGAAAGAAAAGCAGCAGGUUAAUACCCCGCUGUUCUGACGGUACCCAAAGAAUAAGCCCCGGCUAACUUCGUG
Molecule: ribosomal RNA, 492 nt
Filed under: uncultured bacterium
Lineage: Bacteria
Description: partial 16S ribosomal RNA
Rfam family: Bacterial small subunit ribosomal RNA
Source: RNAcentral